This 1469-nucleotide long non-coding RNA is filed under the name Podarcis muralis (Common wall lizard). RNAcentral's name for it is "lncRNA (ENSPMRG00000002759.1)". Lineage: Eukaryota; Metazoa; Chordata; Lepidosauria; Squamata; Lacertidae. The record is from RNAcentral.
UCAUUAGCAUUCCACAGAAGUUAAGUAAAUUGAAAACACACUCACUGCCACGGCACUGCGAAGGAAGGAAACUGCGCUCGCAACAUACGCUUUCUGCUGACACGGUCCGUCUGUCUAGCCUCCCCAUGCACAGAGCUGGUCCUCUUGACUGGUAGAUUGACUUGGGUUGAAUCCAUAACUGACCCACAGGGAAUUCCAGAGAGAUCGCUGGAGGAGAUCUUAGGGCAGACGACUCCCAGAGACGUUUUUAAAUUGCCCAUUGCAUCGCUGACGUUGGAGGACAUCUGUCACUCUGAUCCACUGCUGAAGUUUGCACUGAAUUGCACCGGAGAGAUCUCUGCCAUGGUUGCAUCAAGACCACUCACGGUUUGGAGUCUGCUGCUAGGGCUGAGUCUUCUUAUACCCACUCAGAGCAAGGAAGAGGAAUCACUGGGCAAUGCCACGGUGAGACCAACCCCAGAAGAUCGUGGAGAUCAGUCCCCAAACCCAGACUUUUGCGACUUCACAUUUCACAUCCCCUGGUCUGGGAGCUCUUGCACGCAGACUACCCAGGCAACCACCACACCAGCCUCUCAGGAAGAGCUGGACCAUCUCAAGAUCUUGUUGGAGGACCUUGGAGGCAACCUGAAGAGCCUUCAGGAGGCUGCAGUUCUGGAGGCCGGCCAGUCCAGGUACCAGGACAUCGUUUCCCAAGCCCUUCCUGAUGUGAGAGAGGCCAAUGGGGAGUUCCAUGAGAUUCUUGGGAAGUUCCUGCAGGAGCUGGAGGAACACAUUCAUGCAGAUGACCAUCUGCACGCAGAGGACGAGAAAAAGAAGUUAAACGAACACUUGCGGGGAAUGGACAGGAUGCUGCGUGUGACCAGUCACCUGGCCGACCAGCUGGACCAAGCAUCCCAGGACCUCCUGGUCAAGAUGACCAGCCUUUCGGAGAAACCAGCCAUCCGGGUGGAAGGAAGCGCCCUGAAGACAUCUUAGCUGCUCAUCCCGUUCUCUGUCCACAAAAGCAUUAAAAGAAAGGCCUCAGCAUUCAUUGUGCAAUCGGUUCCAGUAAUUUUAGAUUUUUUUUCAUUGUUCACGUACUUUCCUCAUCUCAUGGGGAGACUGAGUGCGUAACCUCUUGCUCGUAAAAGCCUCAUCUUUUGCAGUUCUCAUACACGCCUGCACAGUGCAGGAAAAUCCCACACUACAAGCAGUAAAGGUAAAGGUAAAGGGACCCCUGACCAUUAGGUCCAGUCAUGACCGACUCUGGGGUUGCGGCGCUCAUCUCGCUUUACUGGCCGAGGGAGCCGGCGUACAGCUUCCGGGUCAUGUGGCUAGCAUGACUAAGCCGCUUCUGGUGAAUCAGAGCAGCGCACGGAAAUGCCAUUUACCUUCCCGCUGGAGUGGUACCUAUUUAUCUACUUGCACUUUGACGUGCUUUCAAACUGCUAGGUUGGCAGGAGCAGGGACCGAGGAACGGGAGCUCACCC